UGUGCCGGACCACACGUGUGGCCUAAUCUCAUCCGUAUCAAACUGGAAGUCUCGUGGCGUUUAAAAUUAUAUUUGUAGAACCAUGGUUUGGAAGGAAUGGUUGGUUGUACCCUUCGGUAAUAUUUCGCUUUAACGCCAUUAUACCACUGUGCACUCCAAGCAUUAUUCAAAUAAGUUUUAGGGAGGCUAACUAAAUCAUGACUAUAAUUUUUGAAACAAUAAAUAUCACCACAAUUGAUAGCCUCGUUUGCAAUUCUAUCAACUAUUUCAUUUCCUUUAAUUCCGCAAUGGCUAGGUAUCCAUACAAAUGAGACUGUAAGAUUUUGAUCCAUACAUUUCAUUAACAGGUUUCUGCAGUCUAAGAGAAUAGGGUAAAUCGGUUGAGAUUUAAGAGGAAAUUUUGCAAGAGCCUGUAAAGCACUCUUUGAAUCGGGAUUUGAAAACGAACUUAUCAGAUAAAUAUUGACGUCUCAAAUGAAGAGGAGGAUCAACACAUUCUACCUGUAAUGCUGUAACAGGACUAGAUUUCAUGGCUCCAGUGAUAAUUCUGAGUGAUUUAGACUGUAUAGAGUCUAGUUUUUUGAAAGCAUUCACAUCCCCUGGUUGAAGUAAAAAAGUACCAUAAUCUAAAACUGAUCUUACUAUGGCAUUAUAUAAAAGUUUUAAAUUGAAUGGGUGGGCACCCCACCAUACACCGGCAAGAGAACAUGAGAGAGCUAUGGGUCUGUACGACAAUACAUCCGAUGAAGAUUUACCAGGCUUGAGAAUGGGUAAAAUAAUUUGUUUUUUCCAUGACUCUGGGAUAACACAUGUAAUGAACAUAGAAUUUAUAAGGUUGAGGUAAUAUGUGAGACAAGAAUCACUCAAAUGGGCAAAGAAAGAAUAAGGAAUCUUAUCAUCACCUGGAGCAGAGUCCUUAAGAUUCGAGAUGACCCCCUUCAGUUCAUUAAAUGAAAAAGGUAAAUCAAAAUCUGAAACUGGAUCUGAACAUGAGAAAGGAAGGACAAACGGGAUAAGAGCUAAACAUUCUUCUGGAACAUAAGGGGGAGCUAAUUUAUCAAGAAACUUGUCAGCCAGAUCAUAAGGCAAGUCUUUGACUGUAUUUUCUUUAUAUGCAGAUCUAAAUCUUCUUAUUUGGUUCCAUACUUCAGAAGGUGAGAUAUUAGGACAAAUCGAAGCACAAAAUUUUUUAAAACCUUCUCGUUUCUUUUUUAAUAAAAGAUUCCGAGUA
This is a long non-coding RNA of Bombyx mori (domestic silkworm), 1231 nucleotides long. RefSeq lists it as uncharacterized. NCBI's taxonomy places the organism in Eukaryota, Metazoa, Arthropoda, Insecta, Lepidoptera, Bombycidae. The record is from RefSeq and is a predicted model, not a curated record. The transcript has 3 exons.